Pantherophis guttatus is the source of this 568-nucleotide non-coding RNA. Lineage: Eukaryota; Metazoa; Chordata; Lepidosauria; Squamata; Colubridae. The record is from RefSeq and is a predicted model, not a curated record.
GACCUGGUUGCUGCCACAGGCAGGGGUGAGCUCCCGUCACACACUCCAGUUCCUGCCAGUCUGACAGUUAGAAAAGGCCCCUGGAGCUGGACACCAAAGGCUCCUUGGAUUUCUCUGCCAGAUUGUUGGGGGCAAGAACUUAGCAAAAAGAAAGUGGUUAUGCAGCUGGUUACAGAAGAUGGCAGCACCAAGGUAUUUGUGGAUGAUCUUGAAAAAACAAGCAUAGAUGACUCUGGUUAGUGCUUAGAUGGGAGAUUUCCAGAAAACACCACGGCUUGCUGGUUGGAUCAAGAAGUUGAAAAUUCAGAAGAGGUCUGCUGUAGAUUCCUGUAGAUUUUUAGGAAAGAUCCCUAAAGGAAUAUUUAUCAACACAGACCUUAUCUCGCUUGGAAGGCUGCCAGAUGGAUGCAGAAAUGAAAUAGAAAGAGCUUUGGAAUAAAUACCGAGGAAGUGAAACUGAAGUGGAUUAAAAAUAACAGAGGAAGUGUCUUCAUGCAGCAAUGAGGUGGUAACUCAUGCAGCAGUGAAAAGCUUUUAAUUGUAAUAAUAUAUUGACUCAGGGAAAAAA